Molecule: ribosomal RNA, 393 nt
Filed under: uncultured Sphingobacteriales bacterium
Lineage: Bacteria; Pseudomonadati; Bacteroidota; Sphingobacteriia; Sphingobacteriales
Description: bacterial SSU rRNA
Rfam family: Bacterial small subunit ribosomal RNA
Source: RNAcentral
GUAUGUUGACGUAUUCUGAAAGGGAUACUUCUUCGGACAAUAUACAAGGUGCUGCAUGGUUGUCGUCAGCUCGUGCCGUGAGGUGUCGGGUUAAGUCCCAUAACGAGCGCAACCCCUAUCAUUAGUUGCCAUCAGGUCAAGCUGGGGACUCUAAUGAAACUGCCUACGCAAGUAGUGAGGAAGGUGGGGAUGACGUCAAAUCAGCACGGCCCUUACGUCCAGGGCUACACACGUGCUACAAUGGCCGGUACAAAGGGCAGCUACCUGGUGACAGGAUGCUAAUCUCAAAAGCCGGUCUCAGUUCGGAUCGGAGUCUGCAACCCGACUCCGUGAAGCUGGAAUCGCUAGUAAUCGUGCAUCAGCCAUGGCGCGGUGAAUACGUUCCCGGGCCUU